UACGAAGGGGGCUAGCGUUGCUCGGAAUCACUGGGCGUAAAGCGCACGUAGGCGGCUUACUAAGUCAGAGGUGAAAGCCUGGAGCUCAACUCCAGAACUGCCUUUGAUACUGGUGAGCUUGAGUUCGGGAGAGGUGAGUGGAACUGCGAGUGUAGAGGUGAAAUUCGUAGAUAUUCGCAAGAACACCAGUGGCGAAGGCGGCUCACUGGCCCGAUACUGACGCUGAGGUGCGAAAGCGUGGGGAGCAAACAGG
RNAcentral lists this ribosomal RNA (253 nucleotides) under uncultured bacterium. RNAcentral describes it as "partial 16S ribosomal RNA". It matches the Rfam family "Bacterial small subunit ribosomal RNA", at positions 524 to 776 of the family's 1533-position model. The record is from RNAcentral.